Molecule: long non-coding RNA, 769 nt
Filed under: Panax ginseng (ginseng)
Lineage: Eukaryota; Viridiplantae; Streptophyta; Magnoliopsida; Apiales; Araliaceae
Description: long non-coding RNA (PGIN_LNC006646)
Source: RNAcentral
AAAUAGACGAGAUAGGAGAUUUUAAUUUAAUUUUUUUUUAAUCAUAAUUUCAUAACUGAUUGUUCCUCGUAACAACAUUUUUCUCCGCCUCAAAUGAGGAAAAUUAAAGAGAUACAAAAGAAAUGGAUUAACUUAGCGAAAGAACAGCCGAAAAAAGGAUUAUAUCCGUAGAAAUUUUGAAAAUCUUUUGUGUUUGUUACCUACACAAUAUUUAUUUGAUGUCUGUGCAACUCUAAAUUUAUAGUGUAUAUAUGUAAGAGCCCGAAUUUUUUUUAUAAAUAAAAUAGAAUUUUCUUUAUUUAUUAUUUUGAAAUAGUAAGGGUUGAUUAAUGUGGUUAGUUAUGGGUAAAAUGCACAAAUAUUUUAAAUAAGCAGGUGGUUAUAAAAUAUUCAUUAUUGUCGGGGAAUAUUCGUUUGGUUGUGGAAUAUUCGUACUGUCGAGGAAUAUUCGUACGACGGCGCAGCCAUGUGUGGGUCCCAUAACGGAAAGCGAUUGGAGGAAGAAAACGACAAAAAUAAGUUGUUUAAAAUAACGGCGUAGUUGUUUCAGUUUACACUGUUGGAAUACCCGGUGGUUAAAACACAGUAAUACGCGUUGUUGCACAGUAGCACACGGUAUUGCACCAAUUAUUGAUUCUUACGUAAGAAGACACUACUCAAUAAUGGUUACAGUAAUUACUAUUCAGUAUUUUAUUUUAUUGAUUCAAUAAUUGCUGCGUUGAUAUUUUAUAUUGCUGUUGUUUCAAUAAUUGUCAUUACACAGUAUUUU